Molecule: ribosomal RNA, 1795 nt
Filed under: Bacillus cereus W
Lineage: Bacteria; Bacillati; Bacillota; Bacilli; Caryophanales; Bacillaceae
Description: bacterial LSU rRNA
Rfam family: Bacterial large subunit ribosomal RNA
Source: RNAcentral
UUAAAGAGUGCGUAAUAGCUCACUAGUCGAGUGACUCUGCGCCGAAAAUGUACCGGGGCUAAAUACACCACCGAAGCUGCGGAUUGAUACCAAUGGUAUCAGUGGUAGGGGAGCGUUCUAAGGACAGUGAAGUCAGACCGGAAGGACUGGUGGAGUGCUUAGAAGUGAGAAUGCCGGUAUGAGUAGCGAAAGACGGGUGAGAAUCCCGUCCACCGAAUGCCUAAGGUUUCCUGAGGAAGGCUCGUCCGCUCAGGGUUAGUCAGGACCUAAGCCGAGGCCGACAGGCGUAGGCGAUGGACAACAGGUUGAUAUUCCUGUACCACCUCUUUAUCGUUUGAGCAAUGGAGGGACGCAGAAGGAUAGAAGAAGCGUGCGAUUGGUUGUGCACGUCCAAGCAGUUAGGCUGAUAAGUAGGCAAAUCCGCUUAUCGUGAAGGCUGAGCUGUGAUGGGGAAGCUCCUUAUGGAGCGAAGUCUUUGAUUCCCCGCUGCCAAGAAAAGCUUCUAGCGAGAUAAAAGGUGCCUGUACCGCAAACCGACACAGGUAGGCGAGGAGAGAAUCCUAAGGUGUGCGAGAGAACUCUGGUUAAGGAACUCGGCAAAAUGACCCCGUAACUUCGGGAGAAGGGGUGCUUUCUUAACGGAAAGCCGCAGUGAAUAGGCCCAAGCGACUGUUUAGCAAAAACACAGCUCUCUGCGAAGCCGUAAGGCGAAGUAUAGGGGGUGACACCUGCCCGGUGCUGGAAGGUUAAGGAGAGGGGUUAGCGUAAGCGAAGCUCUGAACUGAAGCCCCAGUAAACGGCGGCCGUAACUAUAACGGUCCUAAGGUAGCGAAAUUCCUUGUCGGGUAAGUUCCGACCCGCACGAAAGGUGUAACGAUUUGGGCACUGUCUCAACCAGAGACUCGGUGAAAUUAUAGUACCUGUGAAGAUGCAGGUUACCCGCGACAGGACGGAAAGACCCCGUGGAGCUUUACUGUAGCCUGAUAUUGAAUUUUGGUACAGUUUGUACAGGAUAGGCGGGAGCCUUUGAAACCGGAGCGCUAGCUUCGGUGGAGGCGCUGGUGGGAUACCGCCCUGACUGUAUUGAAAUUCUAACCUACGGGUCUUAUCGACCCGGGAGACAGUGUCAGGUGGGCAGUUUGACUGGGGCGGUCGCCUCCUAAAGUGUAACGGAGGCGCCCAAAGGUUCCCUCAGAAUGGUUGGAAAUCAUUCGUAGAGUGCAAAGGCAUAAGGGAGCUUGACUGCGAGACCUACAAGUCGAGCAGGGACGAAAGUCGGGCUUAGUGAUCCGGUGGUUCCGCAUGGAAGGGCCAUCGCUCAACGGAUAAAAGCUACCCCGGGGAUAACAGGCUUAUCUCCCCCAAGAGUCCACAUCGACGGGGAGGUUUGGCACCUCGAUGUCGGCUCAUCGCAUCCUGGGGCUGUAGUCGGUCCCAAGGGUUGGGCUGUUCGCCCAUUAAAGCGGUACGCGAGCUGGGUUCAGAACGUCGUGAGACAGUUCGGUCCCUAUCCGUCGUGGGCGUAGGAAAUUUGAGAGGAGCUGUCCUUAGUACGAGAGGACCGGGAUGGACGCACCGCUGGUGUACCAGUUGUUCUGCCAAGGGCAUAGCUGGGUAGCUAUGUGCGGAAGGGAUAAGUGCUGAAAGCAUCUAAGCAUGAAGCCCCCCUCAAGAUGAGAUUUCCCAUAGCGUAAGCUAGUAAGAUCCCUGAAAGAUGAUCAGGUUGAUAGGUUCGAGGUGGAAGCAUGGUGACAUGUGGAGCUGACGAAUACUAAUAGAUCGAGGACUUAACCAU